CCUACGGGGUGCUGCAGUGGGGAAUAUUGGACAAUGGGCGAAAGCCUGAUCCAGCCAUGCCGCGUGUGUGAAGAAGGCCUUCGGGUUGUAAAGCACUUUCAGUGGGGAAGAAAGCCUUGGGGCUAAUACCCUCGAGGAAGGACAUCACCCACAGAAGAAGCACCGGCUAACUCCGUGCCAGCAGCCGCGGUAAUACGGAGGGUGCGAGCGUUAAUCGGAAUUACUGGGCGUAAAGCGCGCGUAGGCGGUCUGAUAAGCCGGUUGUGAAAGCCCCGGGCUCAACCUGGGAACGGCAUCCGGAACUGUCAGGCUAGAGUGCAGGAGAGGAAGGUAGAAUUCCCGGUGUAGCGGUGAAAUGCGUAGAGAUCGGGAGGAAUACCAGUGGCGAAGGCGGCCUUCUGGUCUGACACUGACGCUGAGGUGCGAAAGCGUGGGUAGCAAACAGGAUUAGAUACCCGAGUAGUC
RNAcentral lists this ribosomal RNA (465 nucleotides) under Vreelandella stevensii. RNAcentral's name for it is "partial 16S ribosomal RNA". It matches the Rfam family "Bacterial small subunit ribosomal RNA", at positions 338 to 795 of the family's 1533-position model. Lineage: Bacteria; Pseudomonadati; Pseudomonadota; Gammaproteobacteria; Oceanospirillales; Halomonadaceae. The record is from RNAcentral.